Heterocephalus glaber (naked mole-rat) is the source of this 91-nucleotide small nucleolar RNA. Its record names the gene SNORD14. It matches the Rfam family "Small nucleolar RNA SNORD14". From Rfam's summary of the family: U14 small nucleolar RNA (U14 snoRNA) is required for early cleavages of eukaryotic precursor rRNAs. In yeasts, this molecule possess a stem-loop region (known as the Y-domain) which is essential for function. NCBI's taxonomy places the organism in Eukaryota, Metazoa, Chordata, Mammalia, Rodentia, Bathyergidae. The record is from Ensembl.
UCGCUAUGAUGAUGGAUUCCAAAACCAUUCGUAGUUUCCACCAGAAAUCUUGAUUGAUGUUGGCCAGUUCCUUCCUUGGAUGUCUGAGCGA